UGGCACCGCCGCAUUCCAGCUUGGGCAACAGAGUAAGACCCUGUCUCAAAAAAAAAAAAAAAGAAAGGAAGAAAGGAAAGGAAAAAGGAAAGGAGGAAGGGAAGGAAGGAAAGGGAGGAAAGAAAGGGAGAAAGGAUGGUCUCAAGAGCCGCCACCCAUUUCCAUGAGGCCACUCCUCACUUCCUGCAGAGAUGACUUGCUCUCUACUCUCCGCCUGCCUCCCCUGUUCAGCUUCCAUGCAGGUCCUGCCUCUCUCUGACCUGAGCCCUGCUGACACCCGCUGGGCCCAGGUGCUGCCUCUGGAGUUCUUCCCCUCUGUAAUUUUCUUCUUGGUCUGCGCCCUCCUGGUUUCCUGCUGGUUCUCCAGCACUCUUAACUGACUCUCCUGGCACUCUGCACUUCUUUGUAGUAAUCACAAUGGCAAUUAAUUACCUGUAUAAUUAUGUGUUUAAUAGCUGUGUCUCCUACCACUAGCCUGUAAACUCCAUGAGGAUGAGAACUUGUCUGACUUCUUCCCUGCUAUUUCUUCAGUGCUUGAUACUUAAUAAAUAUUUUUUGGAUUAACAGAAAAUGAGAGGCUACCUGUUUUUCUUCUAAGUCUAUAUUCCCUGAGGGCAAGGACUGCUUUAUUGUUCCAUUUUCCCUGUACCUUACAGAGAACCUGGUGCUGAAUGGGCAACAACGUUUGCUGAAUGAAUGAAUGAAGAGACUGAAGCCCCAUUUCUCUUCCCCUUUUACCUGUAUCAUGCCUUAAGACUGGUUCUCCCCUCACUGCAGUCAGAAAAGUGAAGACAUCUUCAAAGAUCUAGCCUGGUUUAAAGAGGUGACUUUGUGCUGUAAGUGUUAGAAACCAGGCAGAAACCUGCUGAGCACAACCUGGAUUUCAGUGAAGGGAGCCAGCCGCACGUGAAGAGCAUUCACGCCGCCACAUGUGUUUAAUCUAAAGCCAACAUCCUGUCCGUCAAACAUGAGACCAGAAACAUUGCUCGCCUUCGCUCAGAAGUCAGAGGGCUUUGCAGGAUGACUUUGAUGACCAAGGCUUUUUAAAUAGAUACCUGGGAAGAUGGAACCUUUUCCCUCUAAGUAAAUUUCCCUAGAGCAAAUAGUUCCACUGACCUUAGACAUGACUUCAGGGCUUUCUUCAGAGUUGAGAGCUAUUUAAAAAUAAAAGUUAUGGAAUCUGAUUGCUUGAAGACCUCACUAAAGAUUUCAAAUGUGGGGAUCUGGAGAGUAGGAGGGGAGGGAGUCUCUCUUUAAUCUCUUUCCUUUUUUUUUUUUUUUUUUUCUUCUGCCAGUCCUUUAUUCCCUUCCUCCUUACAAGAGAAUCAGAAUGGAGAGGAGCCCUUUGGGGAUAAAAAUCCCGGGGGGCUAUGAGAUCAUUGUCCCAAGCACUGUGGAGGAGGGAGAGUCUGUCUUUGCUUUUUUUCUUUUAAUAAACUUUAAUGAGGUAUGAUGAGUCUUGGCCAAUGUACACAUUUGUUCAUUGUCACCAUGACCUUGCUUUUUUUUU
Molecule: long non-coding RNA, 1510 nt
Filed under: Homo sapiens (human)
Lineage: Eukaryota; Metazoa; Chordata; Mammalia; Primates; Hominidae
Description: HSALNT0155469
Source: RNAcentral